UGGGGGAAUUUUUGGACAAUGGGCGAAAGCCUGAUCCAGCAAUGCCGCGUGUGUGAAGAAGGCCUUCGGGUUGUAAAGCACUUUUGUCCGGAAAGAAAUCCUUGGCUCUAAUACAGUCGGGGGAUACGGUACCGGAAGAAUAAGCACCGGCUAACUACGUGCCAGCAGCCGCGGUAAUACGUAGGGUGCAAGCGUUAAUCGGAAUUACUGGGCGUAAAGCGUGCGCAGGCGGUUUGCUAAGACCGAUGUGAAAUCCCCGGGCUCAACCUGGGAACUGCAUUGGUGACUGGCAGGCUAGAGUAUGGCAGAGGGGGGUAGAAUUCCACGUGUAGCAGUGAAAUGCGUAGAGAUGUGGAGGAAUACCGAUGGCGAAGGCAGCCCCCUGGGCCAAUACUGACGCUCAUGCACGAAAGCGU
This 416-nucleotide ribosomal RNA is filed under the name uncultured bacterium. Its description in RNAcentral is "partial 16S ribosomal RNA". It matches the Rfam family "Bacterial small subunit ribosomal RNA", at positions 353 to 762 of the family's 1533-position model. The record is from RNAcentral.